CAAUGUGAUAUUAUGGAGGCAUCUUUGAAUACAUCUCUAGUUAAAAGAUUUUGUAAAUACAGCUUCAACAUAGAUUGGAAUGGAACUGAAGUUAUAGGAGCGGAUUUGGGGUGGAAACGCUCUUGUUUGCGGGAAUCGUUGGUGAUUGUGGGAAGGAGAUUGCAUGCCAAUGUCAUUAAUGAACAGGUUAGUACUGUGAGGACCAUGACAAAUAUAAUUUAUAAUCUUGGUAUAUGAAAUAAUUAAAUUAUUGAAAAAAGAAAUCAUAAAGGGGAGAGGAGAAUUAUAAAAAUGAAAAGAAAAAUAAACAUCAGCUGAGUUGCACUGCCUUGUAUGGAACUUCAUUCCCAGUAUUAUAAAUCCCGAUGAGAAAACAAGGGUUACUAUUGGAAACAAAAGAUUUUGUUGCAUGCAAGUGUCUUGGGUAUGACACAGUCAAGCAGGAUCAUUAAGGAAAUAAUAAACAAAAUCUGAAGUGCAUCAAAUCUGAAAAUGUUAGGUGAAAGGUCAGUUAUUUGGUCCUAGGUUCUGCCAUGAGAAAAAAUCUCAUGAUUUGAGAUUCCACUUUUUGAUCAUUAAUCAUCCACCACUUUUUUUGAUCAUUAAUCAUUUUUAAAAAUAGUUUAUCUUUUUAUGGCCUGUUGUAAC
Molecule: long non-coding RNA, 648 nt
Filed under: Androctonus crassicauda
Lineage: Eukaryota; Metazoa; Arthropoda; Arachnida; Scorpiones; Buthidae
Source: RNAcentral